Molecule: ribosomal RNA, 491 nt
Filed under: uncultured bacterium
Lineage: Bacteria
Description: partial 16S ribosomal RNA
Rfam family: Bacterial small subunit ribosomal RNA
Source: RNAcentral
AGUGAACGCUGGCGAUAGGCCUAACACAUGCAAGUCGAACGGCAGCACAGUAAGAGCUUGCUCUUACGGGUGGCGAGUGGCGGACGGGUGAGGAAUACAUCGGAAUCUACUUUUUCGUGGGGGAUAACGUAGGGAAACUUACGCUAAUACCGCAUACGACCUACGGGUGAAAGCAGGGGAUCUUCGGACCUUGCGCGAUUGAAUGAGCCGAUGUCGGAUUAGCUAGUUGGCGGGGUAAAGGCCCACCAAGGCGACGAUCCGUAGCUGGUCUGAGAGGAUGAACAGCCAGGCUGGAACGGAAACACGGUCCAAGUCCCAGCGGGAGGAGCGAUGGGGGAAUUUAUGACAAUGGGCGCAGGCCGGGGACAACCAACCCGCGGGGGUGUAAAAGGCCUGCGGGGUGUAAGACCCUUUUGUUGGGAAAAAAAAGGAGCAGGUGAAUGCCCCGCUGUUCUAGCGGAACCCAAAAAAGAAGCCCGGGCAAACUCCGU